AACACAUGCAAGUCGAGGGGAAACGACAUCGAAAGCUUGCUUUUGAUGGGCGUCGACCGGCGCACGGGUGAGUAACGCGUAUCCAACCUGCCCACCACUUGGGGAUAACCUUGCGAAAGUAAGACUAAUACCCAAUGACGUCUCUAGAAGACAUCUGAAAGAGAUUAAAGAUUUAUCGGUGAUGGAUGGGGAUGCGUCUGAUUAGCUUGUUGGCGGGGUAACGGCCCACCAAGGCGACGAUCAGUAGGGGUUCUGAGAGGAAGGUCCCCCACAUUGGAACUGAGACACGGUCCAAACUCCUACGGGAGGCAGCAGUGAGGAAUAUUGGUCAAUGGGCGAGAGCCUGAGCCAGCCAAGUAGCGUGCAGGAUGACGGCCCUAUGGGUUGUAAACUGCUUUUAUAAGGGAAUAAAGUGAGCCUCGUGAGGCUUUUUGCAUGUACCUUAUGAAUAAGGACCGGCUAAUUCCGUGCCAGCAGCCGCGGUAAUACGGAAGGUCCGGGCGUUAUCCGGAUUUAUUGGGUUUAAAGGGAGCGUAGGCCGGAGAUUAAGCGUGUUGUGAAAUGUAGACGCUCAACGUCUGCACUGCAGCGCGAACUGGUUUCCUUGAGUACGCACAAAGUGGGCGGAAUUCGUGGUGUAGCGGUGAAAUGCUUAGAUAU
RNAcentral lists this ribosomal RNA (660 nucleotides) under uncultured bacterium. RNAcentral's name for it is "bacterial SSU rRNA". It matches the Rfam family "Bacterial small subunit ribosomal RNA", at positions 50 to 697 of the family's 1533-position model. The record is from RNAcentral.